RNAcentral lists this ribosomal RNA (276 nucleotides) under uncultured soil bacterium. Its description in RNAcentral is "partial 16S ribosomal RNA". It matches the Rfam family "Bacterial small subunit ribosomal RNA", at positions 26 to 285 of the family's 1533-position model. The record is from RNAcentral.
AGAAUCAACGCUGGCGGCGUGCCUCAGACAUGCAAGUCGAACGCGAAAGUCCCCUUCGGGGGGCGAGUAGAGUGGCGCACGGGUGAGUAACACGUAGGUAAUCUACCUUUGGAUGGGGAAUAACAACCGGAAACGGUUGCUAAUACCGCAUAAUGCAGCGGCACCUAAUGGUGACAGUUGUUAAAGCGGGGGAUCGAAAGACCUCGCGUCUGAAGAGGAGCCUGCGGCGGAUUAGCUAGUUGGUAAGGUAACGGCUUACCAAGGCAACGAUCCGUA